CACCUUUUUGUUUUCUAGAAGUUAAUCUUACCAUUCUUUCCUGUCUCUUCGCCUUUAGUUAUCCUUAAGGAAACCAAUGGGAAAGAGAACUUAGAAAAGAACAUCCUUAGACUGCGGAAGGAUCAGAAAGAGUCAGUGUUGAAGUUUUUGGUGACAUGGAACACAAACUCUCGAAACUGCCAUGAGGCUCAGGCUGUCCUUGAAACCCUCCUAAAGCACGAAGCGCCAGAGUGUCUCCUGCAGUAUGAAGGGAUUAAAACUGCUGUGGAAUCCCUUCUGCCUUACACCGAGCGCCAUUUCCAGAGACUCGGCCGCUUAUUGCAAGCCUCUAUGUUCAUCGAUUUCAUGUGGCAAAAUAUGAGACUAGCAGAUGUGUCAAAAUGGGAAGAGGACAUGAGUCUGUGACCUUUUAUAUGCUGUUUGCAGUAUACUGAGGGGAAUGACUGGCGAGCCAAGGACACGCACACUGACUGCAG
Chrysemys picta bellii (western painted turtle) is the source of this 476-nucleotide non-coding RNA. NCBI's taxonomy places the organism in Eukaryota, Metazoa, Chordata, Testudines, Emydidae. The record is from RefSeq and is a predicted model, not a curated record.